RNAcentral lists this ribosomal RNA (117 nucleotides) under Angustibacter sp. Root456. RNAcentral also lists the same sequence under 1 other name. Lineage: Bacteria; Bacillati; Actinomycetota; Actinomycetes; Kineosporiales; Kineosporiaceae. The record is from RNAcentral.
UACGGCGGCCAUAGCGUUGGGGAAACGCCCGGCUCCAUUCCGAACCCGGAAGCUAAGCCCAACAGCGCCGAUGGUACUGCGAGGGGGACCUCGUGGGAGAGUAGGACGCCGCCGGAC